AACUAACGCUGGCGGCGUGCCUAACACAUGCAAGUCGUACGAGAAAGUCGGCUUCGGCUGAUGAGUAAAGUGGCGCACGGGUGAGUAACGCGUGGAUAAUCUGCCCUUUAGUUGGGAAUAACGUACCGAAAGGUGCGCUAAUACCGAAUAAUGCUGAGUGACAUCAGUUAUUUAGCCAAAGAAGGCCUCUGCUUGCAAGCUUUCGCUGAAGGAUGAGUCCGCGUACCAUUAGCUAGUUGGUAGGGUAAUGGCCUACCAAGGCGACGAUGGUUAGCUGGUCUGAGAGGAUGAUCAGCCACACUGGAACUGAGACACGGUCCAGACUCCUACGGGAGGCAGCAGUGAGGAAUAUUGCGCAAUGGGGGCAACCCUGACGCAGCAACGCCGCGUGAGUGAGGAAGGUUUUCGGACUGUAAAGCUCUGUCGAGCGGGAAGAAUGCCUGAUGGCUAAUAUCCAUCAUGCUUGACGGUACCG
Molecule: ribosomal RNA, 475 nt
Filed under: uncultured bacterium
Lineage: Bacteria
Description: bacterial SSU rRNA
Rfam family: Bacterial small subunit ribosomal RNA
Source: RNAcentral